UGUGGUCUGCUGUCCAGCGUCGGGGUCCGCCGCAGCCGACGCGUCGGCCGACGCCCGCUGACCCGUGGAGCGCGAGUCGAGCGCCGUUUCAGCGACGCUGUCACGGCUCCUCAGUACGCGACCGGCGAGGGCUUUUGCCGCGUGCCAGGGCGCGGGCAGAAAAGUUCCCGGCUCGCAAAGGAUCUUCGACGCAUCUGAGAUGCUUUCCAGGUCUUGGAACGAUGCUGAGGUUUUGAAGAUGAUGGCCCAAGGCUGCCGCUGCCUGGCGGCGGCGAGCGCCUUCUGAAUGCUGGGCAUUCUGCACGCUGAGAGCGGCGCCCGGAGCCGGAUGGAGCCCACGCGCGGCUCCGCCCGCUACGGCGCCUCCCCGGAGCCGGAGCCGAGCCGGGCCGACGCCAAACCGUCCCACCGCGCCUCCCACCGGCGCACUCGCCAUACGCACCGGACCCGACUGGACGAGCCCUUCGAAGCAGCCGCCUCUUCAGUCUCCACCGCAAUGGCCGCGUCGACCGGGCUGCCACCGUCGCCGCCGCCGCGGGACGUGCUGGAGGUGCAGAUCAUGC
This is a long non-coding RNA of Pollicipes pollicipes, 563 nucleotides long. RefSeq lists it as uncharacterized. The record is from RefSeq and is a predicted model, not a curated record. Lineage: Eukaryota; Metazoa; Arthropoda; Thecostraca; Pollicipedomorpha; Pollicipedidae. The transcript is spliced from 3 exons.